Long non-coding RNA from Bos taurus (domestic cattle), 1002 nucleotides. The record is from Ensembl. NCBI's taxonomy places the organism in Eukaryota, Metazoa, Chordata, Mammalia, Artiodactyla, Bovidae.
GAUGUGCCUAUGCAGAAAAACUCAGUCCCUGGGUUGGGAAGAUCCCCUGGAGUAGGGCAUAGCAACCCACUCCAGUAUUCUUGCCUGGAGAAUCCCAUGGACAGAGGAACCUGUCUCCCACAGUGCUUUCCAUCAGCCGAACCCAACUGCAAGUAAGAGGACAAGAGACCCGUGAUUCAGUCCAUACAGGUUGACCUCCCUGGGGCAUGGGAGAGGAUGGAGGAGAAUAGAGAAUGGAUCUGGAAAAGAAAACAGAAAACAUUCAGCACACGUGUUAUCUCAGUUUGGACAAUUAGCUCUUCUUGCUCUAGAACUUGAAAUUGAAAACAGAGAGACAGAGAAAUUGUCAUUAAAAAUGAAUACCGUUAAUGGUGCAUGACAGAAUGUCCACCAGUUUCUGCUGCCGAAGAAUCUUGACCUUUUCUGCUUCCAUUUCUUCUACAAAUUGGUUGCUCAGUGAUCCAGGAUGUUUCCAAUAUGUCUCUUACUUCUGCCUAAUACGAUGGAAGUCAUUUACUGUCACUUAUAACUGAAAGGUCCCUAAUGAAGCAAUGCCCAAAUUUUUAGUAUUGGCAUUUAGAUCACUGCAUUUAUGGCUACAUUCCCAACUGUACUCAAGAAAAGGACUUAUGUAGAAGAAGAGGAAGCGGAGGAGAAAGGGGAGGAAAGAGAGGAGAUCGGGGAAAGAAGGAGAAGGGAAGGAGGAGGAAGGGUGGGAAAGGGAAUAGAAAGAGAACAAGAACACAAAUGAUUAUAAAUACUUGGAAAGUAGGAACUUCUUCAAUAUGAUCCUGCUGAGAACCACUGUCCCAUCACCCACAUUCUCAGAUGGCUCUUUUGGAGAAAAACUUAAUUAUUGGGUUCUAAUUUUUUAGAGUUAGCUAUUUUGCUUAAUUGAAUUUGCUAGUUAACUGUCCAUAACCUUUGAAUUUUAAUCUAAGCCAUAUUACCUGAAAUCUUAUAUAGAUCUGCAGCAGUUGCUUGAGAUCCCUAAAGGGCAGA